CGGGGUAUAGCUCAGUGGUAGAGCAUUUGACUGCUGAUCAAGAGAUCCCCGGUUCAAAUCCGAAUACCCCCA
Acipenser ruthenus (sterlet) is the source of this 72-nucleotide non-coding RNA. NCBI's taxonomy places the organism in Eukaryota, Metazoa, Chordata, Actinopteri, Acipenseriformes, Acipenseridae. The record is from the annotation of a RefSeq genome assembly.